UUCCUACGGGGGGCAGCAGUGAGGAAUAUUGGUCAAUGGCCGCAGGGCUGAACCAGCCAAGCCGCGUGAGGGAGGAAGGUACAGAGUAUCGUAAACCUCUUUUGUCAGGGGACAAAGGCGGGGACGUGUCCCCGGAUGAGUGUACCUGAAGAAAAAGCAUCGGCUAACUCCGUGCCAGCAGCCGCGGUAAUACGGAGGAUGCGAGCGUUAUCCGGAUUUAUUGGGUUUAAAGGGUGCGCAGGCGGUCUGUUAAGUCAGCGGUCAAAGCCCGGGGCUCAACCCCGGCCCGCCGUUGAAACUGGCCG
This 305-nucleotide ribosomal RNA is filed under the name uncultured bacterium. RNAcentral describes it as "bacterial SSU rRNA". It matches the Rfam family "Bacterial small subunit ribosomal RNA", at positions 336 to 639 of the family's 1533-position model. The record is from RNAcentral.